Molecule: long non-coding RNA, 1086 nt
Filed under: Nicotiana benthamiana
Lineage: Eukaryota; Viridiplantae; Streptophyta; Magnoliopsida; Solanales; Solanaceae
Description: long non-coding RNA (NBEN_LNC027399)
Source: RNAcentral
GGUUAUGUUCUAUAAUUGAAGUAAUAGAGACCAUGAUGACAUUUGGCAAAAUAAAAUAUUCUGGCCAUUACAGAGACGAGUAGCAGUGCUUCAAGUUGCAAAACAAGCGACCAUGACAUACACCACAAAAAGAAAAGCAGAGUGCGAGACUCAAUAGUGAAUUGUAUAAAUGGUCAAAGCAUUUCAUUUUCUUUUGAUUGUUGUGGAAGCUCCUCCUUUGGAAGUCAUUACAGAAAACCUACUUCUGAACUCCCAAGGUCUGCAGGAAAAAAAAAACUUCCCUGGACGAUAAAACUAUGUUCCUCUCAAGGUGUAACAUAUUGACAACAAGACGGAGUACCCACUGGCUCCAACGCGCUUUUCGCCUGCAAGCUAUCUACAGCGCACGUGUAUAAAGGUCUCCAUUGUAUUCACAAAUCCAGCUUCUCAUGGAAAACGACACCAAAAAUAUGCCCUGCUACUUCCAUCUCAAAAUCUGUUGAGGUUUCGUAAUUGCACCAGGUUUUGCCAAUGACUUACAUUUGCAAUAGUGCUAAAAUCAAUACAUCGAGCAGGGUGGGAAUUAACUGGUGACAGGGCCAUAGGAGUUGAACUAGCGAAAUGAUGGGGCUCCAUUAGAAUCGAUGACGCACAGCUGGCCUAUGCCAAUUGCACAUAUAGAUUAAGUGUCCAGGCACGAAGAAAUGCCCAUAUCAAGGAUGUGUUAGCCCAAGUAUUCCACCAUUUGGAAUCUAAUUUUCACUUCAUUGACAGUUCUUUCGAGAGCUACCUCUCUAGAGAUAAACGCCCUUGGUCAAGAUUGUACGUUGUCUGCUCUUUUUGAGAAUUCAACUUUUCCUGUUAAAAAAUAUAUUAUUGCAUUAGAGAUCAUACCCACACACCAACAACAACAACAACAACCACCUAGUAUAAUCCCACUUAGUGGGGUCUGGGGAGGGUAGUAUGUACGCAGACCUUACCCUACCGUUGGGUAGAGAGACUGUUUCCAAAUAGACCCCCGGCAUCCUUCCCUCCAAGAACUUCCUGUUAGGAUUAUGAUUCCUACUAAAGACAACAACCUUCAUUUGAAUAAUCGGAUUUACNNNN